CCUACGGGGUGCAGCAGUGAGGAAUAUUGGUCAAUGGGCGCGAGCCUGAACCAGCCAAGUCGCGUGAGGGAAGACGGUCCUAUGGAUUGUAAACCUCUUUUGUCGGGGAGCAAAAGACGCCACGCGUGGCGUUCCGAGAGUACCCGAAGAAAAAGCAUCGGCUAACUCCGUGCCAGCAGCCGCGGUAAUACGGAGGAUGCGAGCGUUAUCCGGAUUUAUUGGGUUUAAAGGGUGCGCAGGCGGAAGAUCAAGUCAGCGGUAAAAUUGAGAGGCUCAACCUCUUCGAGCCGUUGAAACUGGUUGUCUUGAGUGAGUGAGAAGUAUGCGGAAUGAGUGGUGUAGCGGUGAAAUGCAUAGAUAUCACGCAGAACUCCGAUUGCGAAGGCAGCAUACCGGCGCUCAACUGACGCUCAUGCACGAAAGUGUGGGUAUCGAACAGGAUUAGAUACCCUUGUAGUC
This 459-nucleotide ribosomal RNA is filed under the name uncultured bacterium. RNAcentral's name for it is "partial 16S ribosomal RNA". It matches the Rfam family "Bacterial small subunit ribosomal RNA", at positions 338 to 795 of the family's 1533-position model. The record is from RNAcentral.